UUUAGGCUAUUGGUUGCCUGCCUUGCCGCUGAGCUUGGUGGGUGGCUCUUAGUCGCGUGAUCUCGGGGACGUCUACCGUAAAGGUGCAUGAGUGGUGUUUGGUUUGUUACGGGUGGUUGGCUCUUUGCUUGCGCAACAACUUCCACCUGGCAUACCUCUUCAGUUUUGUUUCAGUGCUUGUAUCGCAUUGGACGCAUCGGGGGUUUCAUGUGUUGCCUGCCUAAUUGAUGGUAUCGUUUGAUUGAUUGACGCGCAUAUUCGUCUUGGGUCGCGCAUGCGAUGCGAGAUGAACCUCAAAGUUCCCUCUGUGAUCCACUCCAUCAAUUGCUCACGCGUUGUUGUGGUGGCUCACUACGGGUUGCUUGGUCUCAUCGGUAUGGAACGUUGUUUGGGCAUGAGAUAUUAUUUUAGUAGCUCAUCGUUUGCCCUGUUUAAGCUUUUCAAAUACGAUUUCCUAGCACGUCUUAACGUGAUAGGCUACAUCGAACAUGAAUG
Molecule: unclassified non-coding RNA, 495 nt
Filed under: Trichanthodium skirrophorum
Lineage: Eukaryota; Viridiplantae; Streptophyta; Magnoliopsida; Asterales; Asteraceae
Description: partial external transcribed spacer
Source: RNAcentral